UUGGGUUAUUUUUAUUGUUUGUCUUGGACCAACAUAAAAAAAGUUGUAUCUAUUUUGGACCCGCUUUCAAUACCCACUUUCGGAAAGCAUAUACUUGAAACUAUGGCCAACAAUCUAAACCUUGCACUCCAAGCUGCAAACCCUGCCUUCAAGGACGACAUUUUGAAAUGGGGAUGCAAAGUUCCUACUGUUCCAACAAACUCAUACGGUCCCCUGUCUGGUUAUUUGGUUUUCAAUUUAAUGCACUCAUGGCACGAUGGGAUGCUAUAUUUUCCAGUACCCAAGGAUGAUUUUGAACUGAGGAAGCGAUUUUUGGUCCAUAUGUUGAAGUAUGAAGAGAAUGAAGUUUUAAACAAUAUCCCGGUCUUAGAACGAAGCAUCAUCGAUCGGAUCAAA
RNAcentral lists this ribosomal RNA (396 nucleotides) under Triticum aestivum (bread wheat). Its description in RNAcentral is "partial small subunit ribosomal RNA". The record is from RNAcentral. Lineage: Eukaryota; Viridiplantae; Streptophyta; Magnoliopsida; Poales; Poaceae.